AUCUCUUCUCUUUGUUUUGCCACUGUCACUGUCAUGCUACAGAUUCUUGUAGGAGUUGGCUGAGCUCUUGACCCCACCAAGCAGAUAAUGCCUAACCGAAAACAAUCAAUGCUCUGUACCAAAAGGAAUGCCCUCCUAAAACAGCGAAAAAGGGAGUUGCGUUCACAGGAAACACAAGAAGCAAGAGAGGCCCGUCUUGAUGAUCAGCGUAGUCGUGAUCAACGCUCACUAUGUGACGAACCUGUUGAAGCAAGGCAGGCCCGUCUUGCUUUCAUGCGUAUUCGAAAUCGGCGCUCACUCCU
Molecule: long non-coding RNA, 302 nt
Organism: Octopus sinensis (East Asian common octopus)
Lineage: Eukaryota; Metazoa; Mollusca; Cephalopoda; Octopoda; Octopodidae
Exons: 3
Source: RefSeq, a predicted model, not a curated record